This is a long non-coding RNA of Pan troglodytes (chimpanzee), 1515 nucleotides long. RefSeq lists it as uncharacterized. The transcript is spliced from 2 exons. Lineage: Eukaryota; Metazoa; Chordata; Mammalia; Primates; Hominidae. The record is from RefSeq and is a predicted model, not a curated record.
CCCACAUCCCCCGCGCCUGGAGGGCCUAAUCACCGAAGGUGCUGAUGAGGGGAUAUGUGUUGCAGCGGACAGGGAUUGAGAAUGCAGGGGAGCGGUGUGAAGGGGUCGGGGUUUGGCAAAGGUGGAAGUGACGGCGUGUCUCCUACAGUCUCGCUGUCACUCAGGCUGCAGUGCAGUGAUGCAAUUUCUGCUCACUGCAACCUCCACCUCUCGGGUUCAAGUGAUUCUUCUGCCUCAGCCUCCCGAGUAGCUGGGACUACAGGCGUGCACCACCACACCCGGCUAAUUUUUGUAUUUUUAGUAGAGACGGGGUUUCACCAUAUUGGCCAGGCUGGUCUCAAACUCCUGACCAGGAGAGGCUCUUUUCCAUGGUUCCUGUGUGUUCCUCUGUACUAGGUUGAAUAAUAUCCACCCUCAAAUUUAUGUCCACUCAAAACCUGUGAAGAUGACCUUAUUUGGAAGUAGGGUCUUUCCAGAUGCAAUCAAGUUAAGAUGAGGGCAGAGUGAAUUAGGGCAGGUCUGAAUCCAAUGACUGCUGUCCUUAUAAGGAGAGGGAGAUUUGGAGACAGAGGGACAGAGAAAGACAGGCAAGGACGCCAUGUGAAGGUGGAAGCAGAGCUUGGAGGGAUGUUGCCACAAGCCAAGGAGUGUCUGGAGCCACCAGAAGCUGGAAAAGGUGGGGAAGGAUCCUCCCUCAGAGCCUGUAGAGUGCACAUUCCUGCCAAUACCUUGAUUUGGGACUUCCGGUCUCCAGAACUGUGAGAGGAUGAAUUUUCGUUCCUUUAAGCCACCCCAUUUGUGGUAAUUUGUUAUGGCAGGCCUAAGACAUGAACACAUCUUUUCAGCCAGCUCUGCCAUGCACCAUGGCCAGCAGAGCUUGGUGCCUCCCCUUGGCAACUUCCCAGUACCACAGUUAGUUCUCUUGGUGCAGCUCGCCAGCAAACUUCGCCAUCCAGCAAAACACCACCAUGUCUCCUCCAGCGAGGUUUGGAUCCUUAACCCUGGCAGAUGGGAGCUGUUUCAGAGUUGUUUCUUCCUCGCUGUUCUGCCUCAAACUAGAGGUAGAGGCUGCUCCCUGCAUCUGUUACACCCGCGUGAAAGGAAAAUAAAAUCUCGGGACCCUAAUUCACUCUGCCAAAAGGAAAAAUUAAGCUCAAAGCUGAGUCAUGCAAGAAGCUGCCUUUCCUUUUGUUCCCCAACAGAGAGCUACCGAUCAAGGUUAAAUAUCUCCAUGGGUAGCUCCUCUAUGUUCACCCUAUCUAAUGUAAAAUGCCAGUUUACUGGCUGUGAGAUGAAUACAUAAUUGACUAUUCCCCUACCUGCUCCUUUUCUCUAGUAUCGUGGAUCACCAGACCCUCUCUCUUUCCCCUCCAGCACACUUUUCCCCUUUAACUAUUAAAGCCCUCAAAAUCAUCUUUGGAGAAAGGCACAGACCACAGACUUUCUGUUAUUCCAUGUUCUUUUCUUCCAGAUGUGUUCUUAACCUUGGCAAAAAUAAACCUCUAAAUUGAUGGA